Ornithorhynchus anatinus (platypus) is the source of this 1126-nucleotide long non-coding RNA. RefSeq lists it as uncharacterized. The record is from RefSeq and is a predicted model, not a curated record. Lineage: Eukaryota; Metazoa; Chordata; Mammalia; Monotremata; Ornithorhynchidae. The transcript has 2 exons.
GUCCGGGGAGUCGCUAGGGGUCGGAAACGACUCGACGGCAUUUGAAGAAGAAGAUGGACGAUAAAUACUUUGGCAUUGUGAAUUACAUGCUUAAGAUACAUCUAAAAUCGUUCCCAGUCCACACGGUUUGGCUUCCGUUGCGUGGACGCCAAUGAUCAGUCCGAAAGGUGGCCAGGAACCUCCCCGGCGAACGUCGGCACGACGCGGAAGACUCCAAAUCAUCCGUCGAAGGUAUCAUCCGACGGGAGAGGAGACGUUUGUCGGGGCGGCGGCAACCUAGUGUUCGAACAACCCGGAAUCGGGGGGAUUUUUCUAGUCCUUUUCUUUUGGAGCGUCACGACCAGAGUUCGAGCGAUGAAGAAUUCGACGGUAUGAUCUGGAUCCGUUCAGGCUGGAAGGAAGAUUAACGACGGGAGGAAUUGGAACCGGAGCGAAUCGACGGUUUCGUCCACGUGUCGUCCGGAGAGCGGCUUCCCGUCAGAUCACGCGGGAGUUGACGUCGCUUCCCGGUGUGCUCGCCUGCUUCUGGUUCAAGGAGUUUCUUUCUUCCGUCUCGGCUCCCUUCUAGGGAGGGAGGGGGAGAUCCGGAAGUCAAGGGAGGAAGACCCUAAGGCGCACAGAUGCGUCUAACACAUAGUAAACGUUCAUCAUCGUCGUUAGUAUCAUCAAUCCAAGUUGGCGACGCCGCGACGUCAACCGUUAGCUCGAACGGGGAGGUGCGGAGCAAAAAGGAUCACGUCCCGGCCCUCCGUGGGAAGGCAGCGUUUAGCCGAGGCCACGUCCACACGGAACAGAAGCGUGCUUAGAAUCGACGGCAAUAACGGGAGGCGACCGCUUCAGAUUUCAGACUUCGAGAGCGCGGGAAGCGGCUGCCGCGUCCGGGUGUAGAAACUACGGGAAGUUGGGAUCUUUUUUGUUUCCCGCUCCCCCAGAAAGCGCCUUUUCUAAAUGAGCCGAUUCGAUUCAGCUUCCACCGGGAGCCGGCCAGGCCUCGAUUUUAAAUUGCAGAAUUUACCGAGAGACCCGACUGCUGGGAAAAGUCUUAAAAUGUCCUGCAUUUCCUCCUCGCAGCUGCCGCGUUAAGCUGCCUUCUUCAGCGCUGAAAUAAAUCAAAAUCCUCUCGCGA